Molecule: non-coding RNA, 76 nt
Filed under: Clostridium sp. ASBs410
Lineage: Bacteria; Bacillati; Bacillota; Clostridia; Eubacteriales; Clostridiaceae
Source: RNAcentral
CUUGUAGUAACAACGAAUGAUGAGAAGUCAGCAGAGGUCAUAGUACCAAGGUGGUUGCAAACACAGUGGGAAGGAC